GUAAAUAAUAAAGGGCGUAUGGUGGAUGCCUAGGCUCUCAGAGGCGAUGAAGGACGUGAUAAGCUGCGAAAAGCUCCGUUUAGGUGCAAAUAACCUUUGAUGCGGAGAUCUCCGAAUGGGAUAACCCAAUAUGUUGAAGACAUAUUAUACCGUAAGGUAGGCAAACGCAGGGAACUGAAACAUCUAAGUACCUGCAGGAGAAGAAAACAAACGUGAUUCCCCCAGUAGCGGCGAGCGACCGGGGAUAAGCCCAAACCGUUAUUGUUUCGGCAGUAGCGGGGUAGUAGGACUGCGACAUUGAUGAAAUAAAUGAAAUGGAACACUUUGGAAAAUGUGAUCACAGAGGGUGAUAAUCCCGUACAUGUAAGUUUAUGAAUCAUAGCAGACUCCUGAGUAAGUCGGGACACGUGUAAUCCUGACCGAAUCCGCCGGGACCAUCCGGCAAGGCUAAAUACUCCUGAGAGACCGAUAGUGAACCAGUACCGUGAGGGAAAGGUGAAAAGCACUUCGAACAGAAGAGUGAAAUAGUCCCUGAACCCAUACGCCUACAAGCAGUCGGAGCCGCUUCGUGCGGUGACGGCGUGCCUUUUGCAUAAUGAGCCUACGAGUUACUCAUCACCAGCGAGGUUAAGUACUUCAGGUACGUAAGCCGAAGCGAAAGCGAGUCUGAAUAGGGCGUCAAGUUGGUGGUGGUAGACGCGAAACCUUAGUGAUCUACCCAUGGGCAGGGUGAAGGUUUGGUAACACAAACUGGAGGCCCGAACCGGUAAACGUUGAAAAGUUUUCGGAUGACCUGUGGGUAGGGGUGAAAGGCCAAUCAAACUGGGAAAUAGCUCGUACUCUCCGAAAUGCAUUUAGGUGCAGCCUCUGUUGUUUUGUUCUAGAGGUAGAGCUACUGAUUGGAUGCGAGGGCUUCACCGCCUAUCAAAUCCGGCCAAACUCCGAAUGCUAGAACAUAAAGACAGGGAGUGAGCCAGCGGGUGCUAAGGUCCGUUGACGAAAGAGGGAGAACUCAGACCAUCAGCUAAGGUCCCCAAUUAUAUGCUAAGUUGGAAUAAAAACGGGGUGGGACUGCUUAGACAGCUAGGAUGUUGGCUUGGAAGCAGCCAUUCAUUUAAAGAGUGCGUAACAGCUCACUAGUCGAGCGGUCCUGCAUGGAUAAUACGCGGGCAUAAGCAUAUAACCGAAGCUAUGGGAUUGUAGAUGAUACAAUCGGUAGGAGAGCAUUCCAUUCAGCAUAGAAGCAGUAUCGUGAGGUAUUGUGGAGCGGAUGGAAAAGCAAAUGUAGGCAUAAGUAACGAUAAUGCGGGUGAGAACCCCGCACGCCGAAAGAUCAAGGAUUCCCCGGCAAUGUCAAUCAUCCGGGGGUAAGUCGGAUCCUAAGGGUAAGCCGAGUGGCGAUCCCGAUGGUAAACAGGUUAAUAUUCCUGUACUGAUCAUAACUGCGAUGCAGCGACGCAGAGGUGACACUGCUGCGUACUGACGGAAUAGUACGUUGAAACCCGUAUUCUUUGAUACCGGUAGUGAAGCACGCCGGUAGAGAUGAAAGGUGAUAGUACCGCAAUGCUUCGGUUGCGCGGAUAAUGCAGGUAAGCUGACUGCCAAGAAAACCUGCUAAGCUUCAGGUAAUGAUCAUCCGUACUGUAAACGGACACACGUGAUCAGGUAGAAAAUACUAAGGCGCUCGAGAGAUUCAUGGUUAAGGAACUAGGCAAAAUGGUCCUGUAACUUCGGGAUAAAGGACGCUCUUGUGAAAGAGCCGCAGAUAAUAGGCCCAGGCGACUGUUUACCAAAAACACAUGGCUAUGCUAAUUCGCAAGAAGAUGUAUAUGGCCUGACACCUGCCCGGUGCCGGAAGGUUAAGAGGAGAGCUCAGAGGUAACUCGAAGGUUUGAAUUGAAGCCCCGGUAAACGGCGGCCGUAACUAUAACGGUCCUAAGGUAGCGAAAUUCCUUGUCGGGU
Molecule: ribosomal RNA, 1962 nt
Filed under: human gut metagenome
Description: bacterial LSU rRNA
Rfam family: Bacterial large subunit ribosomal RNA
Source: RNAcentral